CAUUAAGAAGCUAAUCAGCGUUAACCUUUUAAGUUAAAGAUUGAGGAAACAGACAACCCUCCUUAAUGA
RNAcentral lists this transfer RNA (69 nucleotides) under Lonchophylla concava. RNAcentral's name for it is "tRNA-Lys". The record is from RNAcentral. Lineage: Eukaryota; Metazoa; Chordata; Mammalia; Chiroptera; Phyllostomidae.